UGUUAUAUUUGGACGGACAUUACCGAGCGUACCGUCGUCGCAACUACACGCGGACUACAUAAAAAACGAAUCGUCAAUAAUCCGUAUCGUAAUAUAUUAUUAUCAUAAAUUGUAUUCGCGCGGCUAACCAAAUUCACAUUCAAAAUGUUUAACUUAGGAGGAGCUAUGAAAAAUAUUACAGCAAAGGCCGAAGAAUUAGUAGAUGAAAAGAAGCAUGCUGCAACUUCACUUCUUGAAAAACAAGUCAAAGAAACCGGUGAGUUUUUGUCUCACACACUCAACGAAGCAGAAGGCAAAGCUGUGAACGCCGCAGAAGAGGCGAAAAAGGCAGCUGUGGAUGGUUUUGACCAGGAGGUCGAAAAACUUGCUGAUAGUGCCUUACAGGAGGAAACACCCGCCGCACCAGCGACCGUCCCCGCUGCUGUCACCCCGGAACAGCAGUCAACCGUCAACCAAGUGGCGUCCGAAGCUAAGACACUGGUAGACAAGACGACUGCCGAACUGAAACCGGCCCUGGAUCAAGCGGUGCACGACAAGAUCAACCCGUUGGCGCAGGACCUGGCCAAGAAGCUGCAACCGAUCACAGGCGACGUGUCCGCGCACAUCAACACGGCGCUGGCCGAGGGUGUCAAGCAGCUGAACCCAAUCGUCGACGACGUGUCCGCGAAGGCCAAAGGAUUUGUUGACGAUACUGCCAAACAGGUGAGCACUGUGGUGGACGACAAGCUUAAGGAGGCCGAUCAGUUGAUCAGCGAGAAGCGUGAAGCUCUCGGGGAACCGGCCAAGAGCAUUAUGUCCAAGGCCAAGGGAUUGUUCGGCUGUAAGUUAGGUUGCUGUACUAUCAUGUAGGAAAAAAAUUCUCACACAAAACUCGUGUACGCACAGCCUAUAUACACACUGUCGAUGUAUAUUGCCAGAAUCAAUCAACUACUAAUCACUACGUAUUAUAAUGGGAGUAGCGAGUUGGCUAUAAAACUGCUAUAGUGUACCUAUACUAACUGCUAAACCAUUUUCAUUUUACUCGUUUUUCAUGAUACCUACAUAAUAUUUCACAUCUAUUACUUAUGAUAUAAAGAAGCAUUGCUUUAAGUAGCACAUACACAUAAUAUAAUAAUUAUAAUUUUUUCCUUAACUUUAUGUUUAUUGGAAAUUGUAGUCAUUUUAAAGUGUACUCUUGAUUUUCAAUAUUUAUUUUUUUUAUAUAUACACGUGAUUUAUUUUAUAUCAUUAUUAUUAUUAUAAACAUUUUACUAUUAAUCUAUUUUUGUUUUUAUACAUCAUUAUACAUGUAUAUUUAUGCCUCCAGUUGUUCAUCGUGUAAUCUACAUUCUUAUAACAAUUUAAAUAAUCAAUACCGUAUUUUACAAUUACCUACUGUUCUCGCAGAUAAAUGACGGUAAAAAUGUUCCAUAACAUAAAAAAUAUUGUAAUAAUUCAUUAUAUAAUAUUGUAAUGUAUUCAAUUAACGGUCGAGCACACUGAUAAUAAACGAUAUGAUUAUAAUUUAUAAUCAUAUGGUCAUGAUCAUAAUCGUCCACAAACAUUUUAUUUUUUAUUGUUAUGAUAUUUUUGUUUACUUGAAAUCAUUAUUUGGUAUAAUAUACGAUUAACACGCUUGCUAAUUUUCUAAAUGAAAA
This is an RNA transcript of Melanaphis sacchari, 1637 nucleotides long. RefSeq lists it as uncharacterized. The record is from RefSeq and is a predicted model, not a curated record. NCBI's taxonomy places the organism in Eukaryota, Metazoa, Arthropoda, Insecta, Hemiptera, Aphididae. The transcript is spliced from 6 exons.